UUAAUAGCUUAAAGAGAAAACCUUGGUACUUACAGACGAUGAAGGACGUUUUUUUAUCGACGAAACGCUUUGUAUAGCUGAUUUAAAAAGCAUUUAAAAACAAAGAUUUCCGAAUAGGGUAUAACCUUUUAAUUUUUUAAUUAAAUAUUUAAAAUUAAAAAAAGUUAACUUGGGGAACUGAAUCAUCUUAGUACCCAAAGGAAAAGAAGUAACAACGAUUUCCUUAGUAGUGGCGAGCGAAACGGAAAAAAAAAAAUAAUUUAUAUUUUUAGUAAAUAGAUAGUUUUAUAUUAUCUAUAAAAAGUAAAAUGGAAAAUGUUUUAAUUCCGUUUGAAUUAAUAUAAAAACGAGGCUCACCUCGUAAUACUAAAUACUCGUAAGUAACCGAUAGUGAACUAGUACUGUGAAGGAAAGGUGAAAAGAACCCCGAAGUGAGGGGAGUGAAAAGAACGUGAAACUUUAAGCUCACAGAAACAAUAGAAGGGUUUUAAGAACCUAACUAUAUACCUAUUGAAGAAGGGACCGACGAGUCAUAGUUUAUAAGCAAAAUAAGGUUAAGUAUAAUAAAAAAAUACGGAGCCAGAGUGAAAGCGAGCUUAAAAUAAAGCAUAUAUUAUAUAAGUUUAUUUCUAUGAACCCGAAGCCGGAUGAUCUAAGUAUGUCCAAAGUGAAGCAAAGGUUAAACUUUGUGGAGGCUUGUACUGGUUAAUGCUGCAAAAUUAUCAGAUGAGAUGUAUUUAGGGGUGAAAUGCCAAUCGAAUCCGGAGCUAGCUGGUUCUCCCCGAAAUGUAUUUAAGUACAGCUGCUAAUUAAAUUAAAAAAAAUAAUAGUUAGGGGUAAAGCACUGUUUUUUGAUUAAUACAAUAAAAUUAUUUAUUAGUGUUUAAUUAAUUCAACCUAUGAAUACUACUAUUAUUUAGCAAGUGAGACUUUAGGGGCUAAUCUCUAAAGUCAAAAGGGAAACAGCCCAGACCAUAAGUUAAGGUCCCAAAAGAUUAUUAAGUUAUAAAGUGAGUAAAAUUAUUAAAACAGCCAGAAGGUUGGCUUUGAAGCAGCCAUCCUUUAAAGAGUGCGUAAAAGCUCACUGGUUUAGUGAUUUUAUACCGAAAAUUUUAGGGAAUAAAUAAUCUACCGAAGCUAUGGGAUAUAAUUUUAAUAAAAUUAUAUCGGUAGGGGAGCGUUCUAUUUUAGGAUAAAGUUUUAAUGGAAAUUAAAAUGAACGAAGUAGAAGUGAGAAUGUCGGUUUAAGUAGCAAUAAUAUCAGUAAAAAUCUGAUACUCCGAAAACCCAAGGUUUCCUAUGCAAUUGAUUUUCAACAUAGGGUUAGUCGGGGCCUAAAAUGAGAUGGAAUGUGUAAUUGAUGGGUAAUUAGAUUAAUAUUUCUAUACCAUAAUUAUUUUGCAAUAAGUAACAAAUUUAAAAUUAAUAUAAAAAAAAUUGGUACUUUGUUAUAUUAAAAUUAAAUUUCAAGAAAAACUUUAUUUGCGUUAAAAUAAUUAUGCCCGUACCACAAACCGAAACAGGUGGGUAAGUAAAAAAUACUAAGGAGUUCGAGAUAACUCUCUCUAAGGAACUAGGCAAAUUGAUCCUGUAACUUCGGGAUAAGGGAUGCCCUAUUAUAAAAUUAGGGUACAAAAAAGACCCGAGCGACUGUUUAUCAAAAACACAGGUCUCUGCUAAAUUGAAAAAUGAUGUAAAGAGGCUGACGCCUGCCCAGUGCCGGAAGGUUAAAAUAAAUAAUAAUAGUUAUUAUUUAUUAAGCCCCGGUAAACGGCGGCUGUAACUAUAACGGUCCUAAGGUAGCGAAUUUCCUUGUCGGGUAAGUUCCGACCCGCACGAAAGGCGUAACGACUUGGGUACUGUCUUUGAGAGAGACUCGGCGAAAUAGAAAUGUCCGUGAAGAUGCGGACUUCCUACACCAGGACAGAAAGACCCUAUGAAGCUUUACUACAACUUGAUAUUGAAUUUGCUAUUUAAUUGCGCAGAAUAAGUGGGAGAUAUUGAUUUUAUUUUUUAGGAAAUAAAGGAGUCUUUAGUGAGAUACCACUCUUUUAAUAAGAAAAUUCUAACAAAAAUUCUGUUAACCAGUUUUUGGACAGUUUCAGGCGGGUAGUUUGACUGGGGCGGUCGCCUCCUAAAAAGUAACGGAGGUGUACAAAGGUUUUUUUAUAAUAUAAAAGUAAAAAAAGCUUAACUGCGAGACUUACAAGUCAAGCAGAGACGAAAGUCGGUUUUAAUGAUCCGACAAUAUUAAGUGAAAAUAUUGUCGCUUAACGGAUAAAAGUUACUCUAGGGAUAACAGGCUGAUCUUCCCCGAUAGUUCAUAUUGACGGGAAGGUUUGGCACCUCGAUGUCGGCUUGUCGCAUCCUGGGGCGGUAGUACGUCCCAAGGGUUGGUCUGUUCGCCCAUUAAAGCGGCACGUGAGCUGGGUUCAAAACGUCGCAAGACAGUUUGGUCCGUAUCCGGUGUAGGCGUUAGAACAUUGAAAGAAUUUCUUUUAGUACGAGAGGAUCAAAGAAACUAUACCUAUGAUGUACCAGUUAUUCUGCCAAGAGUAUUUGCUGGGAAGUUAAGUAUAGAUAAAAUAUAUAUUAACUGCUGAAAGCAUAUAAGCAGGAAAAAUAUCUUAAGAUAAAUGUUCUGUUCUUUUUUUAAAAAAUUAAAUUAAGAGUAAGAAACCAAUAAGAAUAAUUGUUAGUUAGCUUUUAUAAAGUAUAAGUAUAGUAAUAUAUUAAGCUUAUAAGACUAAUAUUUCGAGUAAUUGAACU
RNAcentral lists this ribosomal RNA (2769 nucleotides) under Nephromyces sp. ex Molgula occidentalis. RNAcentral's name for it is "23S ribosomal RNA". It matches the Rfam family "Bacterial large subunit ribosomal RNA". The record is from RNAcentral. Lineage: Eukaryota; Apicomplexa; Aconoidasida; Nephromycida.